This 329-nucleotide ribosomal RNA is filed under the name uncultured eukaryote. Its description in RNAcentral is "partial 18S ribosomal RNA". It matches the Rfam family "Eukaryotic small subunit ribosomal RNA", at positions 1470 to 1796 of the family's 1831-position model. The record is from RNAcentral.
CCCUUAGCUGUUCUGGGCCGCACGCGCGCUACACUGAUGCAUUCAACGAGUCUAAAACCUGCUCUGAUAGGGGUGGGUAAUCUUUUGAAUGUGCAUCGUGAUUGGGAUAGAUGAUUGCAAUUUUUCAUCUUCAACGAGGAAUGCCUAGUAAACGCAAGUCAUCAGCUUGCAUUGAUUACGUCCCUGCCCUUUGUACACACCGCCCGUCGCUCCUACCGAUUGAAUGAUCCGAUGAAUAUCAUGGAUUGAGGAUUAUAGCAGGUUCGCCUGUCUUGAUCUUCGAGAAGUGAAGUAAAUCUUAUCAUUUAGAGGAAGGAGAAGUCGUAACA